Molecule: transfer RNA, 74 nt
Filed under: Entomospira nematocerorum
Lineage: Bacteria; Pseudomonadati; Spirochaetota; Spirochaetia; Spirochaetales; Spirochaetaceae
Also listed under: 2 other names
Rfam family: tRNA
About the family: Transfer RNA (tRNA) molecules are approximately 80 nucleotides in length. Their secondary structure includes four short double-helical elements and three loops (D, anti-codon, and T loops).
Source: Rfam by way of RNAcentral
CGGGUUGUAGCCCAGUGGUCUAGGGUAUCAGUCUGGGGGACUGAGGGUCGGGGGUUCGAAUCCCCCCAACCCGA